RNAcentral lists this unclassified non-coding RNA (236 nucleotides) under plant metagenome. Its description in RNAcentral is "partial contains small subunit ribosomal RNA, internal transcribed spacer 1, and 5.8S ribosomal RNA". The record is from RNAcentral.
UUUCCGUAGGUGAACCUGCGGAAGGAUCAUUACUGAGUGAGGGCCCCUCGGGGUCCAACCUCCCACUCGUGUUUAACGAACCUUGUUGCUUCGGCGGGCCCGCCUCACGGCCGCCGGGGGGCAUCUGCCCCCGGGCCCGCGCCCGCCGAAGCUACCUGUGAACGCUGUCUGAAGUAUGCAGUCUGAGACAAUUAUUAAAUUAAUUAAAACUUUCAACAACGGAUCUCUUGGUUCCG